Molecule: unclassified non-coding RNA, 421 nt
Filed under: fungal sp.
Lineage: Eukaryota; Fungi
Description: partial internal transcribed spacer region
Rfam family: Eukaryotic small subunit ribosomal RNA (bases 1-46)
Source: RNAcentral
AAGUCGUAACAAGGUUUCCGUAGGUGAACCUGCGGAAGGAUCAUUAACACGUAUCCACGUUAUCAACCAAUGAGAAUUUGUUUUCACCUCUCCCUUUGCAAAUUAGAAUGAAUUGGAACCAGUUUGAGGGAAUUGAUGUGGACUUUCUCGAAAGUCGGCCUUCCUGGUAUAUCUGUGCGAGAGAAAUCUCAAACUAACAAUUGUAUCUUUUAUGCGAGGCACCAAUUUCUUUCAAUUACUUUGAUCUCACAUCAUGAUCCGAGGUAAUCGAGAGAGAAACCAAUUAUAACAAACCAUUUUCACCACCUUUUUGCUAGUUGACUUUUUAUCUGUGAUUGUUUUGCGCAAGCAAUGUAGUCGCACGUUUAAUUACUUGAACGUUAAAAAAAUACAACUCUUAGCAAUGGAUAUCUUGGUUCUC